Small nucleolar RNA from Equus asinus (donkey), 103 nucleotides. Lineage: Eukaryota; Metazoa; Chordata; Mammalia; Perissodactyla; Equidae. The record is from Ensembl.
AUCCUUCUGUGGUGCAUAAGCAUGAUGAUUGGGUGUUCACACUAUUGUGUGAGCUGUGCCUCCCUCAGACCUGUUAUGACAUUGGCACAUUAUUGAUCUGACA